CAUAGGUUUGGUCCCAGCCUUCCUGUUAACUCUUAAUAAACUUACACAUGCAAGCAUCUACACCCCAGUGAGAAUGCCCUCUAGGUUAUUAAAACUAAGAGGAGCUGGCAUCAAGCACACACCCUGUAGCUCACGACGCCUUGCUUAACCACACCCCCACGGGAAACAGCAGUGACAAAAAUUAAGCCAUAAACGAAAGUUUGACUAAGUUAUAUUAAUUAGGGUUGGUAAAUCUCGUGCCAGCCACCGCGGUCAUACGAUUAACCCAAGCUAACAGGAGUACGGCGUAAAACGUGUUAAAGCACCAUACCAAAUAGGGUUAAAUUCUAACUAAGCUGUAAAAAGCCAUGAUUAAAAUAAAAAUAAAUGACGAAAGUGACCCUACAAUAGCCGACGCACUAUAGCUAAGACCCAAACUGGGAUUAGAUACCCCACUAUGCUUAGCCCUAAACACAGAUAAUUACAUAAACAAAAUUAUUCGCCAGAGUACUACUAGCAACAGCUUAAAACUCAAAGGACUUGGCGGUGCUUUAUAUCCUUCUAGAGGAGCCUGUUCUAUAUAAUC
This 565-nucleotide ribosomal RNA is filed under the name Bos taurus (domestic cattle). RNAcentral describes it as "partial 12S ribosomal RNA". It matches the Rfam family "Bacterial small subunit ribosomal RNA", at positions 9 to 951 of the family's 1533-position model. The record is from RNAcentral. Lineage: Eukaryota; Metazoa; Chordata; Mammalia; Artiodactyla; Bovidae.